Molecule: long non-coding RNA, 976 nt
Filed under: Olea europaea subsp. europaea
Lineage: Eukaryota; Viridiplantae; Streptophyta; Magnoliopsida; Lamiales; Oleaceae
Source: RNAcentral
ACAAUGCUUAGUGGCGGAUCCAGGUACUGCCCUAGCUGGAUCCGCCGGAAUGUUCAUUAUUGCAGUCAUUUGCAAGCUUGUCCGUUGGUCCGUCGGGAAGAAACUCGGCAAGCAGAGCUGCAGCGCGAAGAUGAAGAAGCUGCUGGGAUAUUGGGCCUACUCCCCCCCAUUUUGGGCCUUUUUUAAAAAAUAUAAGCACAAAUCCAAUGGCCCAAUACCUUGAAAUUAAUGGACGGCUGGAGUGGAUAUAUUUCCAUUGCAUUCACCAAUUUGAAGAGUCCAAACUCCAAAAUUGAAACCAAUUAACCAAAGGCUGAAUGGAACUGCUGAAGGCUAAGGGCGAUUGCAAAGAUAGUGGAUUGGUGCCUGACAGAGUGGUGCGAGUUGAGUGGAUGGUGAGUCAGUGAGCCGUGAGUGACGAGGAGGUGGACGAUGGAGUGGUGCGAUCGUACGAGUUGAGUGGACGCCAAUGGCUGCGAGUGCAACUUCUUGCCUUGGUGAGCUAUUCUGGCUUUUAUUUUAUUUUUUUCUUUUUGAUUUUGAUGAUGUAAUUUGAUUGUUAUGUUAAAUAUGAUGGUUAUGAUUUAUGAAAAUUGGGGAAUUUGUAAAUUUUGUAAAUAUGUGAAUUGGGAAUUUUAUGAUUUGUGAGAAAUGUUCGAUUUGUGUUGGAAAUUAGAAGUUGGAAAUUGAUGAUAGCUUAAGUCUUUAAGAUUAAGUUUAAUUUUCAUACAGAUUAUGUUAAGUGGAAAAAUUAUUGCCGAUCUUGAUUCUUGAGGUUAAUUGACACUUUUGUCUUCAUUUUGGUUUUUUUUGGCAUUGAGGUGAGGUUCCUGUAUGAUGAAUAAAUGAAAAUUGUGAUUUAUGAUAAAUAAUUUAUGUUGUAUGAGUUAUGGGUUAUAAUUUAUCAUUAGUAAUAUUUGAUUUGUGAUUUGGAAUUUAGGUUUAGGAAAUUAUAAGAUCCCGUAGAAUGCUGUCG